This 445-nucleotide ribosomal RNA is filed under the name Amanita sp. 1 BKS-2015. Its description in RNAcentral is "LSU rRNA". It matches the Rfam family "Bacterial large subunit ribosomal RNA", at positions 1712 to 2107 of the family's 2925-position model. Lineage: Eukaryota; Fungi; Basidiomycota; Agaricomycetes; Agaricales; Amanitaceae. The record is from RNAcentral.
UCUCGGCAAAUUAUCCUCAUAAGUUAGACGAUAAGAGGUACCAUUUAUGAAUUUAAUUAUUCAGCCCUUUUUCUCUUCUAUGAAGAUUAAAGAUUAAUAAUAAUUGAUAGAUAGAUGGUGGCACAGAAUCGGAGGCCCCGACUGUUUACUAAAAACACAACACAGUGCAAUCAUUAAUGUGGUAGUAUACUGUGUGAAAUUUGCCCAAUGCCAUUAAUAUAAAAGCGGUCAUAGGAAACUGUGACUAAUUGAAAAUCUGGUUAAUAGCGGUCUUAACCAUGAGGAUCCUAAGGUAGCAAAAUAAAUUGGCCAUUAAAUGUGGUCCGGUAUCAAUAAUGUAACGAUGGCCUCACUGUCUCUACAACUUGCUCAGUGAAAUUGAAUUACGCGUGCAGAUGCGCGUUACCUCCAGUGGGACGGGAAGACCCUAUGCAGCUUCUACUGA